This 407-nucleotide ribosomal RNA is filed under the name uncultured bacterium. RNAcentral's name for it is "partial 16S ribosomal RNA". It matches the Rfam family "Bacterial small subunit ribosomal RNA", at positions 30 to 526 of the family's 1533-position model. The record is from RNAcentral.
AUUGAACGCUGGCGGCAGGCCUAACACAUGCAAGUCGAGCGGAGCGGCAGACGGGUGCGUAAUGACUAGGAAUCUGCCUGGUCGUGGGGGAUAACGUCCGGAAACGGGCGCUAAUACCGCAUCCUAUCAGCUGAACCUAGGUCGGAUUAGCUCGUUGGUGGGGUAAAGGCCUACCAAGGCGACGAUCCGUAACUGGUCUGAGAGGAUGAUCAGUCACACUGGAACUGAGACACGGUCCAGACUCCUACGGGAGGCAGAAGUGGGGAAUAUUGGACAAUGGGCGAAAGCCUGAUCCAGCCAUGCCGCGUGUGUGAAGAAGGCCUUCGGAUUGUAAAGCACUUUAAGCUGGGAGGCGUUACCCACAGAAGAAGCACCGGCUAACUGCGUGCCAGCAGCCGCGGUAAUUC